UACGUAGGUCCCGAGCGUUGUCCGGAUUUAUUGGGCGUAAAGCGAGCGCAGGUGGUUUAUUAAGUCUGGUGUAAAAGGCAGUGGCUCAACCACUGUAUGCAUUGGAAACUGGUAGACUUGAGUGCAGGAGAGGAGAGUGGAAUUCCAUGUGUAGCGGUGAAAUGCGUAGAUAUAUGGAGGAACACAGGUGGCGAAAGCGGCUCUCUGGCCUGUAACUGACACUGAGGCUCGAAAGCGUGGGGAGCAAACAGG
RNAcentral lists this ribosomal RNA (252 nucleotides) under uncultured bacterium. RNAcentral describes it as "partial 16S ribosomal RNA". It matches the Rfam family "Bacterial small subunit ribosomal RNA", at positions 524 to 776 of the family's 1533-position model. The record is from RNAcentral.